UACGUAGGGGGCAAGCGUUGUCCGGAUUUAUUGGGCGUAAAGAGCGUGUAGGCGGUUAGGUAGGUCCGUUGUGAAAACUCGAGGCUCAACCUCGAGACGCCGAUGGAAACCAUCUGACUAGAGUCCGGAAGAGGAGAGUGGAAUUCCUGGUGUAGCGGUGAAAUGCGCAGAUAUCAGGAAGAACACCCGUGGCUAAGGCGGCUCUCUAGUACGGUACUGACGUUGAGACGCGAAAGCGUGAGGAGCGAACAGG
This 253-nucleotide ribosomal RNA is filed under the name uncultured bacterium. Its description in RNAcentral is "partial 16S ribosomal RNA". It matches the Rfam family "Bacterial small subunit ribosomal RNA", at positions 524 to 776 of the family's 1533-position model. The record is from RNAcentral.